Long non-coding RNA from Schistocerca americana (American grasshopper), 623 nucleotides. RefSeq lists it as uncharacterized. The record is from RefSeq and is a predicted model, not a curated record. Lineage: Eukaryota; Metazoa; Arthropoda; Insecta; Orthoptera; Acrididae. The transcript is spliced from 4 exons.
GUUCUCUCUUCACAGCUGACGACAGUAGCGUCGGGUCGAAGCACUAAUGGUGCAGAACAUUCAUCUUCAAUGUUGAUUGGUGUAGAGAAAUUUACCAAAGAUACGGUCGGCCACCAAGCCCCACAUCGACGCUCCAGGGCCGCCUAUGCUGUCCAUCGUUGGGAAUAUUCUGGAGUUUCUCGACAUGCCGUUGAUCCUCUGUAAGAUGUUCGACCUCCACCAGCAGUACGGCGACUUGUUGAGAAGAUGGUAUUCUGGCCAUGGAUGUAGAGCAAGUUCCUGCUGCAGCUGACCUCCAAAGGACGUGGUCUGUUCAUGUUCGUCAAAAUUAUGCAGAACUUGGCCAUGCAGUGCAUCGCCAUAAGGUCGGCAGCCACAGAGGACGGACUUACCAAACCACACCAGUGCCUGAUGGAAGCUCUGGUCAAUCCAGGCGGGCAGACUCCAAUGCCACUCGACGAGAUUCAGGGCAAGAAUAUACUUAUAUUGCAAUGAGGACUGCAAGGAUUGUCUCUAGCCAGCACUUUUACAAUUUAGCAUAGCCAACCAAUAAUUCGGUUUGGUGCGGACACAUGAGUUCACUGUGCCGGCAUACCAGACUGCACAAAAAGUCACUGCCUCAU